Molecule: ribosomal RNA, 332 nt
Filed under: uncultured bacterium
Lineage: Bacteria
Description: bacterial SSU rRNA
Rfam family: Bacterial small subunit ribosomal RNA
Source: RNAcentral
CGUGUAGGCGGUUGGUCAAGUCUGGUGUGAAAGCCCGGGGCUCAGCUCCGGAAGUGCAUCGGAAACUAGCCGACUGGAGCGCGAUAGAGGAGGGUGGAAUUCCUGGUGUAGCGGUGAAAUGCGUAGAUAUCAGGAGGAACACCGGCGGCGAAGGCGGCCCUCUGGAUCGUUGCUGACGCUGAGACGCGAAAGCGUGGGGAGCAAACAGGAUUAGAUACCCUGGUAGUCCACGCUGUAAACUAUGGGUACUAGGUGUUCGGGGUGUUGACCCCCUGAGUGCCGCAGCUAACGCAUUAAGUACCCCGCCUGGGGACUACGGCCGCAAGGUUAAA